This 484-nucleotide ribosomal RNA is filed under the name uncultured bacterium. RNAcentral describes it as "partial 16S ribosomal RNA". It matches the Rfam family "Bacterial small subunit ribosomal RNA", at positions 28 to 523 of the family's 1533-position model. The record is from RNAcentral.
GACGAACGCUGGCGGCGUGCUUAACACAUGCAAGUCGAACGAUGAAGCUAGAGCUUGCUCUGGUGGAUUAGUGGCGAACGGGUGAGUAACACGUGAGUAACCUGCCCCGAACUCUGGGAUAACUGCUGGAAACGGUAGCUAAUACCGGAUAUGACCAAUGAAGGCAUCUUCUAUUGGUGGAAAGAAUUUCGGUUCGGGAUGGACUCGCGGCCUAUCAGCUUGUUGGUGAGGUAACGGCUCACCAAGGCGACGACGGGUAGCCGGCCUGAGAGGGUGAUCGGCCACACUGGGACUGAGACACGGCCCAGACUCCUACGGGAGGCAGCAGUGGGGAAUAUUGCACAAUGGGCGCAAGCCUGAUGCAGCAACGCCGCGUGAGGGACGACGGCCUUCGGGUUGUAAACCUCUUUUAGUAGGGAAGAAGCGAAAGCGACGGUACCUGCAGAAAAAGCACCGGCUAACUACGUGCCAGCAGCCGCCGCGG